This 464-nucleotide ribosomal RNA is filed under the name uncultured Desulfuromonadaceae bacterium. RNAcentral's name for it is "partial 16S ribosomal RNA". It matches the Rfam family "Bacterial small subunit ribosomal RNA", at positions 338 to 794 of the family's 1533-position model. Lineage: Bacteria; Pseudomonadati; Thermodesulfobacteriota; Desulfuromonadia; Desulfuromonadales; Desulfuromonadaceae. The record is from RNAcentral.
CCUACGGGAGGCAGCAGCGGGGAAUCUUGGGCAAUGGGGGAAACCCUGACCCAGCGACGCCGCGUGGGGGAAGAAGGCCUUCGGGUCGUAAAGCUCUGUCAGAGGGGAAGAAAUGCAGGUGGUGAACAACCAUUCUGUUUGACGGUACCCUCAAAGGAAGCACCGGCUAACUCCGUGCCAGCAGCCGCGGUAAUACGGAGGGUGCGAGCGUUGUUCGGAAUUAUUGGGCGUAAAGCGCGUGUAGGCGGUUUGUUAAGUCUGAGGUGAAAGCCCAGGGCUCAACCUGGGAAGUGCAUUGGAUACUGGCAGACUUGAGUACGGGAGAGGAGAGUGGAAUUCCCAGUGUAGGAGUAAAAUCCGUAGAUAUUGGGAGGAACACCGGUGGCGAAGGCGGCUCUCUGGACCGAUACUGACGCUGAGACGCGAAAGCGGGGGGAGCAAACAGGAUUAGAUCCCCUGGUAGU